AUUGAACGCUGGCGGCAGGCCUAACACAUGCAAGUCGAACGGUAACAGAAAGCAGCUUGCUGCUUUGCUGACGAGUGGCGGACGGGUGAGUAAUGUCUGGGAAACUGCCUGAUGGAGGGGGAUAACUACUGGAAACGGUAGCUAAUACCGCAUAACGUCGCAAGACCAAAGAGGGGGACCUUCGGGCCUCUUGCCAUCGGAUGUGCCCAGAUGGGAUUAGCUAGUAGGUGGGGUAACGGCUCACCUAGGCGACGAUCCCUAGCUGGUCUGAGAGGAUGACCAGCCACACUGGAACUGAGACACGGUCCAGACUCCUACGGGAGGCAGCAGUGGGGAAUAUUGCACAAUGGGCGCAAGCCUGAUGCAGCCAUGCCGCGUGUAUGAAGAAGGCCUUCGGGUUGUAAAGUACUUUCAGCGGGGAGGAAGGGAGUAAAGUUAAGACCUUUGCUCAUUGACGUUACCCGCAGAAGAAGCACCGGCUACUCCGUG
This 489-nucleotide ribosomal RNA is filed under the name uncultured bacterium. RNAcentral's name for it is "partial 16S ribosomal RNA". It matches the Rfam family "Bacterial small subunit ribosomal RNA", at positions 30 to 507 of the family's 1533-position model. The record is from RNAcentral.